UUGGUACUCCCUUCGUCCGGAAAUACUUGUCCUAGAAAUGGAUACAAUGGAUGUAUCUAUAACUAAAAUAAGUCUAGAUACAACCAUUUCGAGGACAAGUAUUUGCGGACGGAGGGAGUACUGU
Non-coding RNA from Triticum aestivum (bread wheat), 124 nucleotides. The record is from Rfam. Lineage: Eukaryota; Viridiplantae; Streptophyta; Magnoliopsida; Poales; Poaceae.